RNA transcript from Haemorhous mexicanus (house finch), 3217 nucleotides. It is a transcript of the gene named RecQ like helicase, with no coding region annotated. The transcript is spliced from 18 exons. The record is from RefSeq and is a predicted model, not a curated record. Lineage: Eukaryota; Metazoa; Chordata; Aves; Passeriformes; Fringillidae.
GGGGCGGGAGCCGUGAGGGAUGAGGGAUUAGAGAUAAGGAAUUAAAGAUAAGGGAUGCGGGAGCGCGGCCGGUAUUAGCCCUUGGGGAAGCUGUAGGAGCUGUCGGCCCGAGCCACGGCUGAGCCUGCCGCACGGGAGGACACGGCAGCGCGGCGCUGCUCCUGCUCGCCCUGGCGGCCUCGCUCACUUCCUCCAUCCAUCCAUCCGUCCGUCCGUCCAUCCCACUCUGUCCUGCACCCGCCGAGCGGGGCCUUCCCUGCCUGCCCGUCCGUCCGUCCGGCUGUCCUGCCCCGUCACGCAGCUCCACCGAGCAGGGGCUUUAGGCCCGGCAAGCGCCGUGCCUGCGGCGGCGUGUGGUGACAGUUGCUUGGUUAAAUAAGAUUUCUUAAAGAUAACAUUCUUUAAUCUCCAAAGAUGACAGCUGUUGCAGUGCUAGAGGAGGUGCUGGUGUCCAUUGAGAAUGAGCUGCAAGCAGUGGAGAUGCAGAUACAGGAGCUUGUGGAUAAGCAGCAGGAACUCCUUCAAAAGAAGAUGAGAGUGAAGAAUCUGAUAAAACAGUCCUCAGGAGACUUGGAGGCAGGUGGAAGUAAAGACACUGAAACCUCAGCUGAGGAAUGGAACAAAAAAGAUUUUCCUUGGUAUGAGAAGAUAAAAACUGCACUGCAGAGCAAAUUUAAACUCCAGAAGUUUAGAUCACUGCAACUUGAAACAGUAAAUGCUGCAAUGGCAGGGAAGGAUAUAUUUCUUGUCAUGCCUACUGGUGGUGGGAAGAGCCUUUGUUACCAGUUACCAGCUGUCUGUUCUGAUGGUUUCACACUGGUGAUAUGUCCUUUGAUCUCUCUCAUGGAAGAUCAGCUCAUGGUGUUGGAACAGCUUGGUAUCUCUGCAGCUUUAUUAAAUGCCUCAAGCAGCAAGGAACACGUGAAGUGGGUGCACAGUGAAAUGCUGAAGAGGAAUUCCCAGCUGAAGCUCAUUUAUGUGACCCCAGAGAAGAUUGCAAAGAGCAAAAUGUUCAUGUCCAAGCUGGAGAAGGCUUACCAGGCUGGGUGCCUGGCUCGCAUCGCUGUGGAUGAGGUGCACUGCUGCAGUCAGUGGGGCCAUGACUUCAGGCCUGAUUACAAGUCUCUUGGUAUCCUGAAAAGACAGUUUCCCAAUACUCCCUUGAUUGGAUUGACAGCAACAGCUACCAAUCAUGUUUUAAAGGAUGCUCAGAACAUUUUGCACGUUCAGAAGUGCAUUACCUUUACUGCUUCCUUCAACAGGCCCAACCUUUACUAUGAGGUUCGGCAUAAGCCUUCAAAUAAUGAAGAUUUCAUUGAGGACAUAGUUAAGACCAUUAAUGGAAGAUACAAAGGACUGUCAGGAAUUGUUUACUGCUUUUCUCAGAAGGAUUCUGAGCAAGUUACUGUGAGUUUGCAGAAACUGGGAAUCAAGGCAGGGACUUACCAUGCAAACAUGGAUGCUAAAUAUAAAACCAAGGUUCAUAAAGGAUGGGCAACAAAUCAAAUCCAGGUUGUAGUGGCAACUGUUGCCUUUGGCAUGGGAAUUGAUAAACCUGAUGUGAGGUUUGUAAUUCAUCACUCUAUGAGCAAGUCCAUGGAAAACUACUACCAAGAGAGUGGACGUGCAGGUAGAGAUGACCAAAAAGCUGACUGCAUUUUGUAUUAUGGGUUUGGAGAUAUAUUCAGAAUUAGCUCAAUGGUGGUGAUGGAAAAUGUUGGCCAAGAGAAGCUGUAUGACAUGGUAUCUUAUUGCCAAAAUAUGAACAAGUGUCGCCGGGUGCUCAUAGCCCACCACUUUGAUGAAGUGUGGGAUUCUGCAAACUGCAACAGAAUGUGUGAUAACUGCUGCAGAGAGAAUGCGUGUGAGAAGAUGGAUAUAACAGGAUACUGCAGGGAUCUAAUAAAGAUCCUUGAGCAAGCUGACAGCAUGAGUGAGAAACUCACCCCUCUGAAAUUAAUUGAUGCCUGGUCUGGGAAAGGUGUGUCCAAAUUCAGGGUGCCUGAAGUUACUCCACCCAAGCACCCUCGAGAGGAGCUGGAGAGAAUUAUUGCCCAUUUACUGCUGCAGCAGUAUCUGAAGGAGGAUUUCAGCUUCACAGCCUUUGCCACAAUAUCCUACCUGAAGGUGGGACCCAAAGCCCGGCUGCUGAAGAAUGAGGGGCACGUCAUCACCAUAGAGGGGAUAACAAACAGCAAAAGGGUUUCCAAGGUCAAACCAUCUCAAUCUUCAAAUUCAAAAGGAAGCAGAGAAGAUGCCCAGGCUGGAUCAAAGACUGUCCAGGAUUCAGUGGUGAAGAAAUCACAGGAACAUAAACGGGCCAGCUGUGGCCCUAACUUAAAAGCAAAGAAGCCUAAGCUUCAGGCAGGUGCCAAUGACCAACCAGUAGUUAUUGACUGAGUGUCACAGACUGCAUUGAGGAUCUAAUCAUGGUUGCUGCUCCAUGGACAAUGCAGUGUCUGUUGCUGAGCAGGCACUGAACACAGAAACAAAAUGAUCCUGAGGUGUGGAAAUGCACAUGGCAGUUAUGAACUCCAGAAUCACCCUCCACAUUUGGGUCCUGACUUCCCUCAGUGAACAUGAGCACUGUGACAGCUCUGUGUCCCAGAUGGAAAGUACUGGAAAUAGUUGCUUCUUUUCCAGGAGCAAAUGUCAAGAUUAAUAAGGAAAAGUCAAAGAAGUCUGCUGCAGCUGGAUAAAUUCUUGCUGGAACUUGGUUGCUCUUCAACAUCAAAUUCCUCGAGUGUUUUGGAGACCUGUAGGAGAAAGAGAAGUAUUUAAAAAUAUGGAUCAUUUAUCCAUCUCCUAAAGGUUUUGACACAAGGUGCUGUGUUCAUUUGUAGUAAAAGAAGUGACAACAUAAAGCCCAUAUUGUCUGAAAAUGUGUUCUCAUGUAACUGCUAAAGGUUUCUUCUUCCAUACAGAAUCUUUUCACACCUGUUCCUGGCUGAAGAGUCAAAGUGUUAAUCCUAAAGACACAGAUUAGGCAAAAAUGGAGAACCCUGGCAGUUGCUCUAACUGCUACAAUGUUUUAUUCCAUAAAGAAGUCUAUUAUAAGAGUUGUUAACACUGCUUUUUCAUUUAUGUGAUGCAGUGAAAACCCUGUUUUUUCUCUAACUUUAAUAAAAUAACUUAUCCAGAGCCACUACCUGAUAUUUCAGAGACCUGGGGGAAAUGGACAACGUCAAAUAGAAAACAAACACAAACAAAACAAAAA